GACGAACGCUGGCGGCGUGCUUAACACAUGCAAGUCGAACGGAAAGGCCCUGCUUUUGUGGGGUGCUCGAGUGGCGAACGGGUGAGUAACACGUGAGUAACCUGCCCUUGACUUUGGGAUAACUUCAGGAAACUGGGGCUAAUACCGGAUAGGAGCUCCUGCUGCAUGGUGGGGGUUGGAAAGUUUCGGCGGUUGGGGAUGGACUCGCGGCUUAUCAGCUUGUUGGUGGGGUAGUGGCUUACCAAGGCUUUGACGGGUAGCCGGCCUGAGAGGGUGACCGGCCACAUUGGGACUGAGAUACGGCCCAGACUCCUACGGGAGGCAGCAGUGGGGAAUAUUGCACAAUGGGCGGAAGCCUGAUGCAGCAACGCCGCGUGCGGGAUGACGGCCUUCGGGUUGUAAACCGCUUUCGCCUGUGACGAAGCGUGAGUGACGGUAAUGGGUAAAGAAGCACCGGCUAACUACGUGCCAGCAGCCGCGGUGAUACGUAGGGUGCGAGCGUUGUCCGGAUUUAUUGGGCGUAAAGGGCUCGUAGGUGGUUGAUCGCGUCGGAAGUGUAAUCUUGGGGCUUAACCCUGAGCGUGCUUUCGAUACGGGUUGACUUGAGGAAGGUAGGGGAGAAUGGAAUUCCUGGUGGAGCGGUGGAAUGCGCAGAUAUCAGGAGGAACACCAGUGGCGAAGGCGGUUCUCUGGGCCUUUCCUGACGCUGAGGAGCGAAAGCGUGGGGAGCGAACAGGCUUAGAUACCCUGGUAGUCCACGCUGUAAACGGUGGGUACUAGGUGUGGGGUCCACUCCACGGGUUCCGUGCCGUAGCUAACGCUUUAAGUACCCCGCCUGGGGAGUACGGCCGCAAGGCUAAAACUCAAAGGAAUUGACGGGGCCCCGCACAAGCGGCGGAGCAUGCGGAUUAAUUCGAUGCAACGCGUAGAACCUUACCUGGGUUUGACAUGGAUCGGGAGUGCUCAGAGAUGGGUGUGCCUCUUUUGGGGUCGGUUCACAGGUGGUGCAUGGCUGUCGUCAGCUCGUGUCGUGAGAUGUUGGGUUAAGUCCCGCAACGAGCGCAACCCUUGUUCACUGUUGCCAGCACGUUAUGGUGGGGACUCAGUGGAGACCGCCGGGGUCAACUCGGAGGAAGGUGGGGAUGACGUCAAGUCAUCAUGCCCCUUAUGUCCAGGGCUUCACGCAUGCUACAAUGGCUGGUACAGAGAGUGGCGAGCCUGUGAGGGUGAGCGAAUCUCGGAAAGCCGGUCUCAGUUCGGAUUGGGGUCUGCAACUCGACCUCAUGAAGUCGGAGUCGCUAGUAAUCGCAGAUCAGCAACGCUGCGGUGAAUACGUUCCCGGGGCU
This 1346-nucleotide ribosomal RNA is filed under the name uncultured bacterium. RNAcentral describes it as "partial 16S ribosomal RNA". It matches the Rfam family "Bacterial small subunit ribosomal RNA", at positions 28 to 1381 of the family's 1533-position model. The record is from RNAcentral.